RNAcentral lists this long non-coding RNA (313 nucleotides) under Phoenix dactylifera (date palm). Its description in RNAcentral is "long non-coding RNA (PDAC_LNC000737)". Lineage: Eukaryota; Viridiplantae; Streptophyta; Magnoliopsida; Arecales; Arecaceae. The record is from RNAcentral.
GCCAGGAAAAACGAAGGCAAAGCAUCAGCCAUCAUACAAAAAUGCACUAAAUUCCACCGUCAUCUCUUUUACUCUUUCAUGCAAAAAGAUUAAUUAAAGCAUCAAACGUUAAGCGCUCAGCAGAGGAGAAGUAAAACGCAAAAAGUGCUGCUAAAAAAUAUUUCUUUAAAAAAAUAAUUUCGCAUUAGCUUCAAAGAUCACCUAACUCAUUGUAGCAAAUCAAAUUCUAGCAGCUUGCGUUAAAAAUCCACCAACAAUCGUUGCCAAGGACCUAAUAACUCCCAACAGACAGCAAACAGGAAACAGCAUCAAA